Non-coding RNA from Taeniopygia guttata (zebra finch), 9807 nucleotides. Lineage: Eukaryota; Metazoa; Chordata; Aves; Passeriformes; Estrildidae. The record is from RefSeq and is a predicted model, not a curated record.
GGAAGUGGUGUGGUGAUCUCCAAAACUAUAGCCAAGAUAGGCAAAGCCUCCUCUUUCCAUGACUGUAACCUUGCAGCUGUCUCAGAGUAGCCCAACUCCAAAGCAGUUUGUGCAGACCAAAAGCCGCAAAAAGUGUAUGUAGUUUCACACUGUGCUUGUAUUUGUGAAAUUGUUAGUGAGCUCCAGCUUCUGCCUUUCCUUAUGAAUACCUGGGUGAGUAUGUCUUUACCAUCCUUUUCUGCUUUCUGAACUAUUGGGCUGUUGCUGCCUUACCUAAUGCUUACUGUUUAGGGAUUUAGGAAAUGUCUUUGUUAUUCCAUGUGGGCUGUCUAGCUGCACAGACUGACUCCAGGGUAGGUUUUACCCUGCCAAAGCAGAGGGCUCUUGUGCUUUAGGAAAUAAUAAAGCAAGCCUUAUUUAUUAAGAGAAUUGUGCUUAAUGAAAACUGCUCCUUCGCCCUUCCUCUGGUUGGUGAGAGCUGGGACAGCACUGCCACAACACUGCCCACAGACAGACAUCUGACCUGAUAGUGGAAGAAGUUUGUUUGCAAAGCCAUUUAUUGUGUGUGAUGCUGUUUCUUUCUACAUGCUGCAUUUAAGAAUUUUUGGAGUAAGAAGGAAUCUAUUUAAAGAGGAUUUUUCUGCAAAGAUUGCCAGUGUAGAAGGAAUUCUGAUGUAGAAGUUUCUUGCCUAUUUUCUUGUCUUCUGUGUCCUACUGUGUUCAAGUAUUUUUGUUGUUACUGUCAUCUGAUUUGGAGAAAGGGUGGGGCUUAUCUGUUUGUGGCUGAGGUGACUGACAGUAUUUACUUUCCUGAGUCCUUGUGGGUGGGGACAGAGCACUCCUUCACCGUGGGAAGAGAAGAUAAGUAGAGAGACAGACGGCAGUGCUGUCUUGGAGAUCUUAGAAAAAAAUGAAAGCCUGAGCAUUCUGUCAGAACUUUUCAGCAAGUUUGUAGCCAGGGACACUGAGUGCUGUGCAGAGGAAGCCAUUUCUGCUGGGUUUGAGCUGGUGUGUGGUUGUCAGGAACCCCCAGGAGGUGACACAGGACCUGUUGUGAGGCCCCAUCUGCUGGUGCCUCCUCUGGCUGCUGCCCGUGGCCGUGCAUCAGCACAGUCCCUGCACAGACUCAGAGAGAGCAGUAUGACUGCACAUGAGAGGAGGCGCUUGUUGACAUGGCCUUGCAGUGCCACCCUUGUCAUUUGGCUGCAGUGGGAGACAAGGGGGGUAGCUCAGCCAUGCUGGAGCUCAUGGCAGAUGGAGACACUUGCACUGCAAAUACCUGCAUCCCCAAAAGUACUGCUGCUCAUCUGGCUCUUGGAUGAAUCCCUACUCUUAGCACUAUUUCUUAAUUAAAUGGAAUAUUUGCAGCUCUGGAUCUGUUGAUGGGUUAUGAUACACAUGCAGUAGCAAAAUAGUAAUUGUGAUGCCAAAAUAUAAACACUGCUAUUAAAUAUCCAGAAAAAGGAACUUUUAGAAAAUAUUUUCUUACUCAGUCUAGCUUGCAUUAAGAGUACUAGGUCAGAGGUGUGGAGAAGAAGACAUUCUCCAUUUGUCAAUGGAAUAAGCCAGUACAAAAUCAAAAUCAUAUAAUUAUGAAAAAUAAUUUAAAGCAGUCUCACCUCAAGGCUUUCUGGUGUAUGCAGCAAUUCAGCAUCCUAAAAUAAAACAAAUCUAAGUUAGAAAAGCUUUAGCAUUUGAAAGUGAUGUCCCUCACAAGAUAUAUCCUAUGCAAUAUAUAAUGUUUGAAAGGAAUUUCAAUAUUAUGACAAAUACCAUCACUUACCUUAUCUUUCACCAUGCUUUCUAUGUCUCUAAUUUUCUUCUGAAUCUGUUUGUAUUUUAAUGUUCUGGGUGAAGAUGCAGUCAGCACCAUAGUGGAGCAGAAGAAAAGCAUGCAGAAAAUAAUCAUCCUCUUCAUCCUGAUGAGUUCUGUUUUAAAAUAUGCCAGGAGCAGAGUUGUGCUGUUCAAGUGUGACACUCCAGUUUGAGCUGUGCUCAGGCUGUAAGGCCAUAAGAACUGCAUCAAGGAAGCCAUGCUGACAGAGAAAGUGAAAUGCAAGGACAAAGGAGCACUUCCUCUAUUGUCUAGGGACAGUGUCACAUCUCAUGGUGCUGGGGCAUCCCUGGCAGAGCAAGAAGUAGUGAGGACAGAGAAGCCACGUGACAUUGCACUGGAGGAUGCAGUCUGCCUCCCUUUGGAGUGACUCCAAGUCCUUGCUUGCACACCAACUCCUCAGCUUGCCCUGAGCACCACCUCUGUGCGUUGCAGACCAGUGGAUCAGCCACCAGAUGUGCUGUACUUCAGCCCCUGCAGCAGAGGGGAGGCUUUGGUGUCACACUGUAUAGCUGGAGGGAAGCCUGAGGUAGAAGCCACAUCUGCAGUUCUCAGGGUGUACAAAUGGAGGUGCUUUCUUCAGCAGCAAAGCCAUUUAAAGAGAUUUCUACUUUAGGUCACUGCUACUCUCUGUCACAGUUUGUCACAAUCUGAGGAGCCUCUGUUACAAGGGCCUUGGGUCAAUGCAGUGAAAUCCCUCUUGCAAAGGCCUUGAGAGCUUGUUUGUUUAGCUUUAUUUUAGUUGCAGUCAUUUCACUGUCAACCCUAUUUUCUUCUUAGCAUACCUGAAAAAUUUGCAAAUAGAAAUGAGUUUCUGGCAGAAGUCUGAAACUCUCCUCCUACUGGAUUUACUAUUGAACACAACUGUGAUCUCCUAUGCAACAAGUGCCUCCUUAGCACAUGAGGCUGAGGGACCCAGUGUCUCCCACUCAGCAGCAUUGUUCCAGGAACAGCAAUUUGGUGCCAGUGCAGACAGCAUUUCAUGAUUCUGACAGAACUAUUUUAUGGAAGAGUGUUUAGGGGAAUCUUAACUCUGCACCCUUCUACAUUUAAGAUUCUUGAAGGUAUGGUGGUAUUUUUCAGGCAGGAUUUAUUGUUACUUUUCAGGCAGUUCUAUCAAUAAAAGUCCUGAUGCAGAAGUAGCUAUACUAGUCUAGAAUUCUCUUAAAUGGGAAUACUCUUCUGUUUCUCGUACAUUAAUUACUCUGGUGAUGAAAUGCACUUUGUUAUGACUUAUAACUUCAUAAAUAGAUCUGCUUUUUAAUUGUUUACAGGAGGCUGAAGAAUGCUGAGGUGACUAGCUCAUGCUAUCUUUAACAGAUAAGCUUGUAACAUUGUAAAAACAGUCUUUUUUUUUCUUCUUUUUUUCCAGAAGUCUCUGUCUUCAUCUCUAAGUAGCUGUAUCUAACGCAGGGAAGUGUGUGCCUGUGCCUGCAGAUUUAUCUGUUAUGUGCACACACAUGCAGAUUUGAGAAGCUAUAUAGCACAAUUGUUUGCAUAAUGAGUUUCAUUUCUCUUCACAGGUCAGCACCUUAAGCAAACCUUGGAAAAACUAUUGUGUGAGCAGUCAGCACACCAAGGCAGCAGCACCCGUUGGGUAGAGCUUGUCUUGGAUAAAAAGCUGAAUGCUGUGGUUUCACUGACUUGUUGUUGAAACCUUGUGGUUUCUGUGUAGGAGGCUGUAUAAGCUGGACACAUUCGACAUCCUUGAUUCUGAGCUGUGAAAUCUGUACAUCUAAUUUAUGAAAAUUAUCUCUGGUUCGAUUUUAUUUUCUUUUUAAUGAAGUCAACAUAUUUUCCUUGCAUUCAGUAGAAACGGUAAUGGAAAUGUUUUAAGAUGCAUUGUGAGCAUUUUUGACCUCAAAAAGUGAGAGAAAUCAAGAUAUUCUUGGUUAUGAUUAAGGCCUAGGAAGGAAAUUUUAAAUUAAAUGCAGAGAGCCAGAUGUGAGAGGAAAGCAUUUUCUCAAGUGUGGAGACAAAUAGAGUAAGUAACUGUGGGAAAUGACAGUUGCAUUAUUAAAAAAUCUUCCACCUGAGAAUUUGAUUUAAAAAAACCACAAAUGACUAAGUAGGAUAAUUUAGAAUAAACUAUGGUACUGGUACCAUUUAAGGCAACCUGCAGUAUCUGUAGUCUGAAAAGGUGGUCUAAAUAAUUAAAUUUAUGAAAUCCAAGACUAAAGAAUCUAAAAGACAUAGAGAGGGAGCUGCAGCAGAAACGGUACCAAUCACAAUAAAACAUAAUGGGAUAGGUGAUCAGUUGAGUGUUUUUCCUUCUGUAGUUGAGUUCCACACUGCAUUCAGUGAAUUGAUUUUCAGGAUGACAGGAUCAUCACUUAACUGAAGCCAGGAGAGCCAUGGAUUCAGCUGUAUGAGCCUUUACUCCUUCCCUCACUCUCCUCCCUUCUACUCUGGCAAGUGCCUCCCAUACUGUAACUCCCCGGAAAGCUGAGCUGCAUCAGUACAGGACACCUGAACCUCUAAUAGUGGCAAAUCCCAUUCCCUUCACUGUCAGCUGCAGUGACUGCCCAAACUUUGACUUUUUACCAAUAACAGUUUUGCCUCUGCCAGGCAAGUUCCCAGAAGCAUGUACAGCAUUCCCUAUAAGUGAAUGUAUGGGAAUGAAUUAAAAAUGAGCAAAACCCUCUGGAUAGAAAACAAAGGAGAAGAAAAAUAACAUUCAAAUUAAUAAAACAAAGCUUCUUGCUGAAAUGUAAGUGAAAUUACUAUUUGUGUGAGAAAAAUUACUCAGUGUGUUUGUGGGAGUGCCAAAAUCUGUCUGAAAACAUUAGUCAAAGCAUUCUUUGUGAAUAAAGACUGAAAGUGUGACCACCCACUUAGCUAUUUCAGAGGGAUGACUGCAAGAUUCAUCUUAAUAAUUUUCAGUAAUUUCCAUAUCAAAACAUCAAUAGCAGACCAUAGAUUUUAAUUCCUCUUUACUGUCUCAUUGGUCCAUCCCAGAGAGUUGUUCCUUUUCAAGGAAAAAAAAAUUUCAAAUGUUACUCUAACAUUGUCACUUUGACUGGAAAAUUAAGGUGUCUUGUCCUGCUUGUGUUUUCUUUUAAUAAAUCUGAGACAAUAAAUAUGAUGACUACAUCUGUAGGUGAAUAUACAAGAAAAUGGUAAAACUGGUCUCUAAAAAUACUCUUCUGGUCAAGAACAUUUUUCUUGCCUGUUACUUAUGAGCUUCUUGCAGAAUGUACAAUUGAUACCUGUUCCUUGAGCAGGACAGUGCUGUUUCUCUGAGUUAACUCCUGGAACACCAAAAGGCAAACAAGGAGGCACUGAAGAUCCUAGCCCAGAACAAAGGUGGCUUUUGAAAAUCACAUUUUCCCCAUUAUCACUGUAACAUAUGCAGAUAGGCAGAUAACCAAGGAUUAGCUUUCUUUUGCAGCAUACAGAUUUCACCCAGAAGCAAUAUCAUAGGAUUCAUCAUUCCUUCCUGUAUAGCUCAGUUUCCAUUCCUGGAUCCUCCUCUUCUGAUUAUCAUAAGGAUUACACAACUACUUUGUUAUUCAACCCAUGGAAAAACCCUGUCAAUGCCUCUUCUACGUGGUAGCUAAGCCUCCCAGGAUAGCUGCAUCUCUUAAAUCUCCCCUUCUGCAGGUUUGAGCCCCUAUGUUGAGGGCACAGCUGAAAAGUCAGAAGAGAUGCUGGUGGAACUCCAAAGGCUGCAAAGUGUUUGUACUUGAUAGUGCUGCACAAAGGGCAAAAACGUGAAGGGAAGUGGAAACAUUUAACCUGAGAACAGGAAAACUCACGAGAAUCUCAGAAACGGCAUGAAGAAAAAAGGAGACAACGAUGUAAUUUCCAAAACAAUAGCCGGAGAUCAAAGGAAGCUGAUGCGCUUUCAAACACUGUUUGUGGUGGAUCUGCAGGGAAAGGUUAAAGAACGUGCUGUGAAAAAAUGCAGAGUCUGGCAGAGAAGUGACAGACCCUGUAGAUCUUUUCUUGUCUCUUUUCCUUGCCAUUGCCCUCUCCUCAACUGAUUUGGCCGCACUGAGAGAAAUAUCACCGUUCCCUUUAAAUUGCCUUUAAAUUGAGCAGAGAUGAAACAGUUCUGCCGUCUGCUAUAAUCAUGUGCCAUGGAUACUCUCCUUACUUAUUGUCUGAGCUGCAUUCUUUUCUCCUUUCUUGCUAGACCUUGUUCAGUGCACAAACUUUCCCUCUCAGCUCUGUUCAUCAUAUCCUGAUUGAUUUUAUAAAGUUUGGCCAAUUUAUGCCAAAGUGAAUAAAUAACUAGAAAUAUAAAAAUGUUAUGUGCUGACGCUUUCAUAUGCUCAUUUCAGUCUUCUAUUAAUUAUAUUUAAUUAUGAAGUUUUAUUGGAAAUAGUUUUAAAAGCUGGGAUAUAAACCUUUCUUCAUUCUUUAAAGCAGAAUGUCCAAUCCACAGUGAGCUUUUUUUUCCCUUGCUCAUCUCAAUAGUUGCAGUGUGUUUUAUGCCACUUCAUAUGGUUUCUGUCAUAUUCAAAAACUCAGAUGCUCUCCCUUGUUUAGGUGAUCAGUCUAAUAUUUAUAGUCAUUCUCUAUGCUUUCUUAGAUUUUUAUGAUUCAGUACACAUGCUCUGAAAAAUUUUUGUUUUUUCACAGGUGGUAAACAGUGCCACAGUUAUAUACAGUGAGUAACCAGUAUUCCAGAAAAUGGUGGACAAAGGAAAAGGACACAAGUAAAACCAGACUUUCUGUAUAAAAAGCCUGAAGUUGGUUCUUGCUCUUCCUACUUGAUGCAGGAGGGUGAUCUGAUAUAACAAAAGAAGGUCAGUAAGCCAGCGUGCCAUAGUAGAAAGACCCAGGCACUUGAAGGCAGUUCAUAAGGAGCAGGGAUAAUGUAGGUUAAAGGUAAAAGAACUUCUACCUUAAUAAUUUUUGUCUGCUUCUAACAGGGCCAGGACAAUUUUCAUUAACUUACCAGUCUAGGGAAUGUGGAUUUGCCAGCUGUUUGGACAGGUAGUAGUUUCCUUUUUCUCUGACAAAAAGAUAAGUAGUGAAACUUUUGGAAUUCAAACGAUAUUUAUAUUUAUGUUGCUCCUUGAUGUUUAAAGAAAACUUCAGUGUUUUUAUUAAGGCUGAGAGGGUGGUUAGGAGAAGCCAGUAUUUUGUACAUUAAAUUGUCUUCUCUGUAUAAAAUUCUAUUUCAUACAAUACAUUGUCUUCUCAUUAGUGUAAAUCAUUCUUCAGUGUUCAUAAUUUAGUAGAAAAUGGCCUAAUAUGGGUUGAUGUGGACUGCUGUGCCUUAUUAGUUCUUUAGACCUACACAGCACUUUAUUGCACCUAGUGAAAUGGGGUAAAAGAGCCAUAUUUAGCUAUUUUUCUGUUCCCAUUUUAUCCAUUGCCUGGAAUGACAGUCCCUUUGGCUGCCUCUUGCCCUGGACUUCUUCCAAGAAAUCUGCAUAUUCCUUACUGAAGGGACUCAAGGGAACUUGCACCUCCAGGGUGUUGAUUUACUUUUCUUCUGCUAUGAGCCAAGAUUUCUUCAAGAGUGACACUGUGCAUGAACAAGAGAAGUUCAGUGCCAGAGGUGGGCAUUCACAUAUCCGUGUGUAAAUCAGAACAGCUGAAUCCACACCUCUGUUGCCUCUCAGUCUAGUACUGAGAAAGCUUCCCAGGACUGAGUCAUUUGAGUGAAGUUCAAUAAAUGUCAGAGAAACUAAUUAAAACAGAACCUCCCUGAGUGUGAGUCAUAGCUGCUCUCUAGUGGACUUGUGAAUAGUGUCAGCAGCUCUAAGUACACUUAUCCCCAGAAAAUAAUAAUAUAGAUAUUCUGAGAGACAGAAGGUAAAAACUCCCUAUACCUGUGAGUUCAGCUGCUUGACUUUUUUGCCACCUCUUCUCUUUUGGUGGCUGGCUUACACCAGAGCUACAGUGAAAAAACAGUGCAGAAUCACCUUUAAAAACUAUCUCCUGUCCAGUGCUGUGGAGAGACAGUAUUUCAUUGUCUCUAUGUUGUGGGUUUGUUUGCAGAGGACACUGUUUCCACUUAGCAUCCUCAGAGUGACAAGUAUCUUAGAGCUAAGGGAAACUGUUUUAUCGGAAAAGAGGGAGGCGUUCAAAGUACAAGGGCUUAUUUCCUGAGGCAGCAUGAGGGAAGAAGGGCAGAGGGAAAAAUAUCAGCUGCACAAAGGACCUUCAUUUUUGGGAACACGAUGUCUUCUUGGGCUUUCUCAGGAGAAAAGUCAAUGAUUUCUAUGGGGCUGAGGUCAAGUAAGUACAUGCACACAGAGGGCCUUGGUAAGGCAGGUCCUGCCCAGCACAGUCUGGGGCUGGAUGUCGUAUGGAGCAGUGCUCCCUACCCCCAGGGACAGCACUUCUAUUCCUGACCUUCCCAGCAGCUGCACUGACUCACUGUUUAGCCUGCUGUCCACUACAUUUCAAGGAAUUCUCCGACAUCCACCAACAUUCCCCAAGCAAUGAUCUUCUGCCUGUUUUGAUUCAUUGCAAGAUUAACUUAGGGACCAAAUAACGUGAUUCCAACCCACUAAAGGUUUAUUGGAGAGACUGAAAAAUUAGUCUUUAAUACUAUGACUGAAAUAAAGUGUGCAACAAAUUGCCUUCUGGAGAGAGCCUUGGUGUUGUGCAAGAAUUGUUCAGCCACAGACAAAGCACUGGUGUGUUUGUGAGUCUAUUUUAGUCACAAAUCCAAACAACAGCCCCAGUGGCACUGAUUUGAAGAAAGGCAACUGCAUCCUCGCUGGAACUGGGACACUCACAGUGAUAAAAUUGGUUUGAUUAUGGAUUCUCUGGUUACAUUAAAUCGCAUUUGUUCUUUUCUGGCAGGGACAAAGUCCACAAUUUUUCGUUGUUAAUUUGUUGCUCAUGAAUAAUUGUUUGCAUCUUCCAUUGGGAAGUUCACUGAGUCCUUCUCCCAUCUACAUACCUGGAAAGAGGGUAUGUGGUUCUGUGCCUGAAGUGAGGAGCUAAGCUAAGAGUCUGGAAGGGCUUCCACCUCUGCAGAGCAGAGUAUUAAACACCUUACUUUACUGAAAUUGAGGAAAGACUUCCUUACCUUAUUAAGUAAAAAAUCUGGAUUUUGUAGUCUGUGUCUCCAAGUAAAUGGCUAUAUUGUCCAUUGUCCCUUCCAUUGUGUACAUUUGAACAUGUGAAUUGUUGAUCUUUUUCAUUACACAAGCACCUAACCUUUAAUAUUGCAGUACAGAUGAUAGCAGUGAAUAGGACAUAAAUCUGACUUUUGCUACCCUUAUGGACCAUCACUUCCAUCCUUUAGUGGGAGUGAGGUAAUGGUGGUUUAAAUGAAAAAGGCUCAAACUUUAAAAGUAGGAAGUGCUUUUUUGUAUGUAUAGGGAACUUAACAGGCACGCCUGAAGGACCACCUUGACCUGUGAAAAUAUGUCAGUCUGAUCUCUGCAGAGGUGAAAAUAUGUACAUGAAAACUAAUAUUGUCUAUUUCCUUUUUGUUCAACUUCCUGUAUGCAGAGGCCAGGUUGUUUAUUCUUGUGAAUGAUGCAAUGGGUUAACGGAUAGUAUGUGGGUUAUCAGUAAGGAAAUCUGAAGGUAUAAGGACCAUAACAGUACCUAAUGUUUCACUUUGAUUAAACUGGUGGAAUUCUGUCUAAAUGGAAAAUUGUGAAGGCGUACAGCCUUCAUUGCAUCAAGAGGAUAUGGUAGGAAGUAACUCAAAAGACAAAUUGUCAUAUUAUUUCUAAAUUAUUAAAUGCCUUGAGGGCUUUCAAUUCGAAACCCAUACCGUCUUCUUACAAAAGAUUUUACAAAAUACGUGCAUAGUCUGUCCUUGCCACGGCUGAGAUUUAGGCAGAUGUGAGGCUCAGGGGAAGGGUUUGGUGGAUUUACUUGGGAGCUAAGAGAAAUCACUAGGAGGUUGCAUUCUCUAACUUAGCUUGCACAAGAGAAUGAGCAUGUUUUCUUUUGGAUACUGCUUCCAUGACAAGCAGCCUUGUGUAUGUCAAACCACUUUAUUUGCUUUAGAAAUCUAAGUAAAUUUAAAAUAUUUCAUAUAAAUU